RNAcentral lists this non-coding RNA (45 nucleotides) under Echinostoma caproni. The record is from RNAcentral. Lineage: Eukaryota; Metazoa; Platyhelminthes; Trematoda; Plagiorchiida; Echinostomatidae.
GCACUGCUGAGGAGUCUUAAACAGGAUGAAACAGCUGUCCAGUGC